UAAUACCGGAUAUGACACAGAGCCGCAUGGUCUCUGUGUGGAAAGUUUUUCGGUUGGGGAUGGACUCGCGGCCUAUCAGCUUGUUAGUGAGGUAAUGGCUCACCAAGGCGACGACGGGUAGCCGGCCUGAGAGGGCGACCGGCCACACUGGGACUGAGACACGGCCCAGACUCCUACGGGAGGCAGCAGUGGGGAAUAUUGCACAAUGGGCGAAAGCCUGAUGCAGCGACGCCGCGUGAGGGAUGAAGGCCUUCGGGUUGUAAACCUCUUUCAGUAGGGAAGAAGCGCAAGUGACGGUACCUACAGAAGAAGCACCGGCUAACUACGUGCCAGCAGCCGCGGUAAUACGUAGGGUGCGAGCGUUGUCCGGAAUUAUUGGGCGUAAAGAGCUUGUAGGCGGUUUGUCGCGUCUGCCGUGAAAAUCCGGGGCUCAACUCCGGACUUGCGGUGGGUACGGGCAGACUAGAGUGUGGUAGGGGAGACUGGAAUUCCUGGUGUAGCGGUGAAAUGCGCAGAUAUCAGGAGGAACACCGAUGGCGAAGGCAGGUCUC
RNAcentral lists this ribosomal RNA (551 nucleotides) under uncultured bacterium. RNAcentral describes it as "bacterial SSU rRNA". It matches the Rfam family "Bacterial small subunit ribosomal RNA", at positions 164 to 729 of the family's 1533-position model. The record is from RNAcentral.